Molecule: ribosomal RNA, 466 nt
Filed under: uncultured bacterium
Lineage: Bacteria
Description: partial 16S ribosomal RNA
Rfam family: Bacterial small subunit ribosomal RNA
Source: RNAcentral
GAUGAACGCUGGCGGCGUGCUUAACACAUGCAAGUCGAACGAUGAAGCCCAGCUUGCUGGGUGGAUUAGUGGCGAACGGGGGAGUAACACGUGAGUAACCUGCCCUUAACUCUGGGAUAAGCCUGGGAAACUGGGGCUAAUACCGGAUAGGAGCGUCCACCGCAUGGUGGGUGUUGGAAAGAUUUAUCGGUGUUGGAUGGACUCGCGGCGUAUCAGCUUGUUGGUGAGGUAAUGGCUCACCAAGGCGACGACGGGUAGCCGGCCUGAGAGGGUGACCGGCCACACUGGGACUGAGACACGGCCCAGACUCCUACGGGAGGCAGCAGUGGGGAAUAUUGCACAAUGGGCGCAAGCCUGAUGCAGCAACGCCGCGUGAGGGAUGACGGCCUUCGGGUUGUAAACCUCUUUCAGUAGGGAAGAAGCGAAAGUGACGGUACCUGCAGAAGAAGCACCGGCUAACUACGUG